Molecule: ribosomal RNA, 253 nt
Filed under: uncultured bacterium
Lineage: Bacteria
Description: partial 16S ribosomal RNA
Rfam family: Bacterial small subunit ribosomal RNA
Source: RNAcentral
UACGUAGGGUGCAAGCAUUAAUCGGAAUUACUGGGCGUAAAGCGCGCGUAGGCGGCUGUCUAAGUCGGGUGUGAAAGCCCCGGGCUCAACCUGGGAACUGCAUUCGAUACUGGACGGCUAGAGUAUGAGAGAGGGAGGUAGAAUUCCACGUGUAGCGGUGAAAUGCGUAGAUAUGUGGAGGAAUACCGGUGGCGAAGGCGGCCUCCUGGUUCAAUACUGACGCUGAGGUGCGAAAGCGUGGGGAGCAAACAGG